AACAUUGAAAGGCUAGAAUUAGUAAACAACAACUUUGUUUGAGUCCAACAUGUGCACAGGGGCAAGAGGGGUGUUUUAUUUACAAACAUAUGUGUCGAUUCUCUGUUGUCAAGUCGACACAAAUUUCCAACGGAGGAAAUUUUUAGCUAUAUUUUAACAAACAUUAUAACGUUAAUUUAACUUAUUUCUGUUAUAUUUUAUAGGAAAAUUUAAAAUAAAAAGUAUAAAUACUACAAUUAACCUAUUUUAAGAAUAAAUAUAAUAUCCUUAAGCAAAAAAAAAACAAAAUUAUUAACAUUCUUAUCCCUAAAACUGCUUCUAAAAAAUUUGAAGCGACAACACCGGAGCUUAAGCGCCUAAACCAUACGCGUUGUGUCAUCUGUCAAACGGCUUUUUGUUUAUAUUCGGGAUUCGUGUAUUUUCUUUAAUUUUUGGUUUAAAAAGGAAAAAAGGCCACGUUUUAGUGUUUUUUUAAAUUGCUAGGAUGGCAAAAACUUGUGUCGUUUGUGCCGCAUCAUGAUAAAAACGUGAUUCAAGCCGAUCUUUUCACAAAUUGCCCAAUGAUUAUGCCCAAAGGGAACAAUGGGUUUCAUUAAUGGAAAUCAACACAUUUAAAAAGAACAUAUUUGUUUGUUCAGAUCACAUCCUUAGAAGUGAUAUAAGGGAGAUAAUAUUAUCAGUAGCCAGACUUUAUUAAAAAAAUCAGCUCUACCUCAAAGGUAAUUUUUUUAAAUAUAUUUUUCUAGUAUAUUUAUAGGUAUGAGUAUAUUUUACCUUAGAAUUAUUGAUAAAGGUUUGCAUGCUUUUAUUUACUACAUUAUGUAAGCUAAAAAAACAACCUUUUAAAACUUGUGCUUGGGCUAUGUUGUAAAACAUACAGCUUCUUCACAAAAAGUAUUAGUGUUACUCAUAUAAGAUUUAUUUAUACCUAAUACUUAUUAAAUUAGGUAUGUGUGUAAAACUAUUUUUUUACUAGGAUUUCUGAUGCACUGGUUAAAAACACAGCAGCCAAUAAUUCAGUUAAUUUACCAAGUGAUUUACCCUUCAAAGCUACAGGGGUAGCUUUCCUGAAGAGUGCAAAAACUUCUUUAGCUUUCAAAAUGGUAUAUAGUACAAACAGUGAAGCUAAUAUAGACACAUCUGAUCAUUCAUCAUCAACAAUAACUGCAUCUGAGAAUUAUAGUUCUACAGUAACCGUGGAGUCUAGGUCAACAAUUACUAUUUCUCAUCCAAGCCGUUUUUGUUUAACUGCUACACAUUCCCUGACUCUGCCAAGGAAAAGGGUAAAAUCAAAAUGAUAUCCUGAGGACCUAAGCACUGAUGAUUCCACCGUUUCAAGAGCUUAAUCACUUGUCACCAGAUUAUGGAAAAAAAAUAAAGAACAAAAAAUUAAAAUUCGAAGAUUGCAACAAGCAAAUUUGCGCCAAAGAAAUUAAAUUAGAUGUCUCAAGUCAUUAUUAAAAUACUUACAUGAAAUAAUAACAUGAUUUUAUGGAAAAGCCCAACAUACUACAUAUUUUAUUUGACUUGUAAAAGCACUUGUUUGUAUAUUACUACUAAUAAACUCUCUAAUCUAAUCUAUUGUA
RNAcentral lists this long non-coding RNA (1586 nucleotides) under Anthonomus grandis grandis. RNAcentral's name for it is "uncharacterized LOC126749296". The record is from RNAcentral. Lineage: Eukaryota; Metazoa; Arthropoda; Insecta; Coleoptera; Curculionidae.